Molecule: long non-coding RNA, 769 nt
Filed under: Pan troglodytes (chimpanzee)
Lineage: Eukaryota; Metazoa; Chordata; Mammalia; Primates; Hominidae
Description: long non-coding RNA NONPTRT013851
Source: RNAcentral
AAACAAUAGACAUCUGCAUAUUCUUCAUUCAGAUCAACCAGUGGCUAGCAUUUGCCACCUUUUGCAGUUUCUUUCUCUUUCCGCAAAUGAAAACAGUAGCCUAAAGUGUCAGUUUCAACCAGAAAAUAACAGCUCUGAUUUCUCAUGGCUCACACUCAUCUGAAACGACUCAGGUAGAGGCUGAGGAAGGCCGUGUUGUUUGUCUACCUGGGACUACACCUACUGAAAGAAGUUCUCAAGUUCUGAUUGAGUUCUAAAAUUUUUUGAAGAUUGGAAUUCUUCAUAUGCAAAAGAAAAUGUGUGUGUGUGUUAAAUACAGUCAGCCCUCUUUAUCUGUGGGUCCUGCAUCCUUGCUUUCUACCAACCUCAGAUCAAAAAUAUUCCAGAAAAAAAAGGAUGGUUGCAUCUGUACUGAAUAUGUACAAGCUUUUUUUCUUGUCAUUCUUUAUGCAAUAAAGUAUAACAACCAUUUACGUUGCAUUUCCAUUGUAUUAGGUAUUGUGGGUAAUCUAGAGAUGAUUUGAAGGAUAUUGGAGGGUGUGUCCAGGCUGCAGGCAAGUACUAUGGCAUUUUAUGUCAGGGACACCUACAGAUUUUUGUCUCCAGCCAUGGUUCCUGUAUAGUUUAACAUUUCCACACGCUGAGGGUGUGAUGGGUCUGAGUUGGGUUGGUCCCCCAUGUUUGAGGAAGUGUGCCCAUCAUGAUUGUACACCCUUGUUGUAAACUUCGGAUAUGUCUAUUUUGAUAUUUAAAACAUUUUCAGGUUAAG